Molecule: transfer RNA, 96 nt
Filed under: Didymella pomorum
Lineage: Eukaryota; Fungi; Ascomycota; Dothideomycetes; Pleosporales; Didymellaceae
Description: Peyronellaea pomorum tRNA
Rfam family: tRNA
About the family: Transfer RNA (tRNA) molecules are approximately 80 nucleotides in length.
Source: Rfam by way of RNAcentral
GCAUCGGUGGUUUAGUGGUAAAAUUAGCCGUUGCCAAGCAUCCUUCGCAGGAUGCGUAGUUUCGGCUAGCCCCGGGUUCGAUUCCCGGCCGAUGCA